GAAACCCUGUAUUAGAAUCUGCAGCCAUUACUUCACUAAAGCAUUUAACUUUAUUCAAGUACUUCCAAGAAAACUCACUUAACUCCUGAAUCCACCCAGAGCUACUUAACAAAAGGAAAAACCAGCAGCUUCAAAAACCCAAAAUUUAUUUGGGGUUCAUCACUAUUCCAGGAGAUUAAAAGGGGUUGCAAUACACAAAACUAUACAGCACCAAGACAAUUCAACUAAACUCCUCACAAUCCACCAAGAGCUACACAACAACAGAAGAGAAAAAAAAAGAAGCUAAGCAGCACUACAAUCAGAGCUUCAGAAACCCAAACAAGAAAAAAC
RNAcentral lists this unclassified non-coding RNA (330 nucleotides) under Hevea brasiliensis (rubber tree). The record is from RNAcentral. Lineage: Eukaryota; Viridiplantae; Streptophyta; Magnoliopsida; Malpighiales; Euphorbiaceae.